CCUCACGCUGGCGGCAUGCCUAACACAUGCAAGUCGAACGAGACCUUCGGGUCUAGUGGCGCACGGGUGCGUAACGCGUGGGAACCUGCCCUUAGGUUCGGAAUAACUCCCCGAAAGGGGUGCUAAUACCGGAUAAUGUCUUCGGACCAAAGAUUUAUCGCCUUUGGAUGGGCCCGCGUUGGAUUAGCUAGUUGGUAGGGUAAAAGCCUACCAAGGCGACGAUCCAUAGCUGGUCUGAGAGGAUGAUCAGCCACACUGGGACUGAGACACGGCCCAGACUCCUCCGGAAGGAGGAAGGGGGGAAUAUUGGAAAAUGGCCGAAGGCCUAAUCCGGCAAUGCCGGGGAAGGAAUGAGGGCUUUAGGUUUGUAAAGCUCUUUACCCGGGAUGAUAAUGACAGUACCGGGAGAAUAAGCUCCGGCUAACUCCGUG
This 431-nucleotide ribosomal RNA is filed under the name uncultured bacterium. RNAcentral's name for it is "partial 16S ribosomal RNA". It matches the Rfam family "Bacterial small subunit ribosomal RNA", at positions 33 to 507 of the family's 1533-position model. The record is from RNAcentral.